UAGUCCACGCCCUAAACGAUGCUAACUCGAUGUUUGGAUUUCGGUCUGAGCAUCCAAGGGAAACCGUUAAGUUAGCCACCUGGGGAGUACGUCGGCAACGAUGAAACUCAAAGGAAUUGACGGGGGUCCGCACAAGGCGGUGGAGCAUGUGGUUUAAUUCGAUGAUACGCGAGGAACCUUACCUAGGCUCUAAUGCGAGCGCAAUCUGGUGAAAAGCCGGAGUUCCUUCGGGACGCGAAGCAAGGUGCUGCAUGGUUGUCGUCAGCUCGUGCCGUGAGGUGUUGGGUUAAGUCCCGCAACGAGCGCAACCCUUGUCUUAGUUGCCAUCAGGGAGUGAUCCGCUGGGCACUCUAGAGAGACUGCCCGUGAUAAGCGGGAGGAAGGUGGGGAUGACGUCAAGUCAGUAUGGCCCUUAUGCCUGGGGCUGCACACGUGCUACAAUGGCUGGUACAAUGGGACGCCAAACCGCGAGGUGGAGCAAAUCCCCAAAACAGCCUUAGUUCGGAUUGG
Molecule: ribosomal RNA, 510 nt
Filed under: uncultured bacterium
Lineage: Bacteria
Description: bacterial SSU rRNA
Rfam family: Bacterial small subunit ribosomal RNA
Source: RNAcentral